This 264-nucleotide long non-coding RNA is filed under the name Manihot esculenta (cassava). RNAcentral's name for it is "long non-coding RNA (MESC_LNC008798)". The record is from RNAcentral. Lineage: Eukaryota; Viridiplantae; Streptophyta; Magnoliopsida; Malpighiales; Euphorbiaceae.
AAAAGAACAAAGUGUCUGUGAUCAAUCCCAACGACUAAAGUGGAUCCAAUACUUCAACUAGAGCUUUCUUAUUAUUUAUUUCUCUUUUAUUUUAUUAUUCGCUUAUUUUAAUUGCUUUUAGUAGUUUAUUAAUCAAAUCAAUCUCAAACCCCCCAUUUUACUUUUACUGCAAUUUAUUUUUAUUCCGCUUUCAGUUUAUCUCAUUUUUUGUUUAUCUCAUUGUUUCAGUUUAUUGGUCUUGUUGAGAAAAAUAAAUAGGUAAUC